AAGUUGUCAAUUCAUAUGGAACCACUUAUUUUUGAAUCUUAGUUCUCAGUCCCAUCUCAAACUUGUGAAUACGUUCUUGCUCACCAUCCACUAAUCUCGGAGCAAAUUUUGCUAACUCUGUAAAUUUUGCUUCAUAUUCAGUCACACUCAUACCCUUUUGCUUCAAAUAAAUAAACUCUUGCUCUUUCUGGAUCCUUAUACUCUGAGGAAAAUAUUGAUCGUAGAAUGCAACCCGAAAUCUUUCUUAGGUAAGUAUUUCGCCAUCUUGUUCAUGCUUGCGCUGUAGUCGCUGACACCAGUUGUAUGCUUCUCCUUGUAGUAAAUAAGCUGCAUAUCAAAUCUUUUCUUCAUCAAGACACUCUUGGACAGUGAAGGCCUUCUCCAUCUCCAUUAUCCAGUUAUCAGCCUUCAAAGGUUCAGUAGUCCCCUUGAAAGCUGGAGGAGCAAGCUUUUUAAAUUUUGAAAUGUUAUUCCAUUGUACUGGUUGCUCUCCAUGUUGUGGUGGUGGAUGCUGAUGUUGUUGUGUAUCUCGUCGUAUCUGCUGUUGUUCAAGCAUUUGCUACUGUAUUUAUUGUUGUGCUUGUACCAUUCUGAUUAGGAUCUGCAUUAACUGAGCCAUAUCUGGUUCUUGAUGUACUCUCGAAGUACUCCCAUUAGGAUCUACGACUCCCUCCUCCUGAGGGGUGCCACUGAUCAGAUGGGGAGUGCUACCAUCCCGUGGUUGUGAUGUCUCUCUUGCAAUUCCUUGAGUAGUUCUUGUCAUUCUACGGGGAGGCAUGGUAACCUUGUAGUAGUAAAACCUUAUUAGAUUAAUUUAUCUAUUUGUUAGGAUAGAUUUAUUAUGAUGCUCAUACUUUAACAUCCCAAUAUUUCUAAUGUUUACCCACCUACACUCAUACUAUGUCAAAUUCUAUGUGUCAUAAUUUAUCCACUUAUGCUCUGAUACCAUAUUAAUUGUCACGCCCCCGACCCGAGAUUAUGAAUCGAGGGUCAUGGCAACCACCGCAUACUUAUGAAGAACUCUUUUCAUAAGCAUGCAAGGCAUCUCAUCACGAUAUCA
RNAcentral lists this long non-coding RNA (1060 nucleotides) under Elaeis guineensis (African oil palm). RNAcentral's name for it is "long non-coding RNA (EGUI_LNC081310)". Lineage: Eukaryota; Viridiplantae; Streptophyta; Magnoliopsida; Arecales; Arecaceae. The record is from RNAcentral.